CUCUUCUCGGGUGGAAGUCCCACAGGAAACAGAGGAGGGAGAGAAUACUUUGGGUCUUUUUGGGAAUGACUUCCCAAAAGAAAAAAAUAAUAAAUUGCUAGAGAAGGAAGGAGAGACCCAGGGAAGGGAGGAAGAAAAGAAGAAAUGAGAGCCCGCUGCUGUGCCACUGCUGCUGUCGCCCACGACUCCAUGGAAGGCUGAUCUCCUCUCUAGGGCCGGAUGUAGCCCUAACAAAGGGCCAAGGGUUUUAUAUUUUUGAUUUCUAUUCUUGGAGUUGUAUAAACCUUAUUUUGUUCUUAAUGAAUAUUUU
RNAcentral lists this long non-coding RNA (310 nucleotides) under Phoenix dactylifera (date palm). Its description in RNAcentral is "long non-coding RNA (PDAC_LNC010456)". The record is from RNAcentral. Lineage: Eukaryota; Viridiplantae; Streptophyta; Magnoliopsida; Arecales; Arecaceae.